AACAGUCGGUGUUGAGGUCUGGACUUCUGCAUAAGUUGUCCUUGCUGGUGAAGAAACAAUGAACAUUUACUGGGUUUCCCUCUUUAUAACUUGGUUAUCAAGUGCCUUCAGUGCAAUAGUGGUCCAAACACCAAGAACAGCAACGAAAGAGGCGGGGGAAUCCCUGACAAUCAACUGCAUCCUAACUGAUAAUAUCUGUGCUUUGCACUCCACAUCAUGGUUCCGGAAAAGCCCGGGGACAACAGAUUGGGAACGCAUAACGAUUGGCGGCCGAUAUGUUGAAUCAGUCAACUGGGGAAGCAAAUCCUUUUCCCUGCGAAUCAAUGACCUGACAGUAGAAGACAGCGGCACAUAUUACUGCAAAGCUCAAGAAAAAGAACACAGUAAUAAGUCUGAGCUUCCGCUCAUACAGAAACACCUUCAAAGCUUCAGGGGAAUGAAAUACGAAUUGUUUCACAAUUUUCACUGA
This is a non-coding RNA of Carcharodon carcharias (great white shark), 469 nucleotides long. The record is from the annotation of a RefSeq genome assembly. Lineage: Eukaryota; Metazoa; Chordata; Chondrichthyes; Lamniformes; Lamnidae.